GUAGGGAAUAUUGGGCAAUGGAGGCAACUCUGACCCAGCCAUGCCGCGUGCAGGAUGACGGCCCUCUGGGUUGUAAACUGCUUUUAUACGGGAAGAAAAAAUACUACGUGUAGUAUACUGACGGUACCGUAAGAAUAAGGAUCGGCUAACUCCGUGCCAGCAGCCGCGGUAAUACGGAGGAUCCAAGCGUUGUCCGGAGUUAUUGGGUUUAAAGGGUGCGUAGGCGGAUCUUUAAGUCAGUGGUGAAAGCCUGCAGCUUAACUGUAGAAUUGCCAUUGAAACUGAAGAUCUUGAAUGUGGUUAAAGUAGGCGGAAUGUAUCAUGUAGCGGUGAAAUGCUUAGAUAUGAUACAGAACACCGAUAGCGAAGGCAGCUUGCUGAACCAUUAUUGACGCUGAGGCACGAAAGCGUGGGGAGCGAACAGGAUUAGAAACCCUGGUAGUCC
Molecule: ribosomal RNA, 445 nt
Filed under: uncultured bacterium
Lineage: Bacteria
Description: partial 16S ribosomal RNA
Rfam family: Bacterial small subunit ribosomal RNA
Source: RNAcentral